Molecule: long non-coding RNA, 1733 nt
Filed under: Salmo salar (Atlantic salmon)
Lineage: Eukaryota; Metazoa; Chordata; Actinopteri; Salmoniformes; Salmonidae
Description: lncRNA (ENSSSAG00000105500.1)
Source: RNAcentral
CCAACAACAAGUUGCAGUAAUCCAGACGGGAGAUGACAAGUGCCUGGAUUAGGACCUGCGCCGCUUCCUGUGUGAGGCAGGGUCGUACUCUGCGAAUGUUGUAGAGCAUGAACCUACAGGAUCGGGUCACCGCCUUGAUGUUAGUGGAGAACGACAGGGUGUUGUCCAGGGUCACGCCGAGGCUCUUAGCACUCUGGGAGGCACGCACCCCUGAGGGGCCCCAUUGUCAAGUAGGUGUCCUUUGGUCCAGGUGGAAAAGAGCAGUGUGGAGUGCAAUAGAGAUUGCGUCAUCUGUGGAUCUGUUGGGGCGAUAUGUGAAUUGGAGUGCGUCCAGGGUGUCUUGGAUGAUGGUGUUGAUGUGAGCCAUGACCAGCCUUUCAAAGCAUUUCAUGAUUAUCUGCAUAAUGCACAGCCCUUGUCACAAGGAUCUGUACACAAUUCCUGGUAGCUAAAAAUGUCCCAGUUUUCCCUGAGCUGCAUACUCACCAGACAUGUCACCCAUUGAGAAUGUUUGGGAUGCUCUGGAUCGACGUGUAUAACUGUGUUCCAAAUGUAAUGCAGAUGUAAGACGGUUACGGUAUCUGUAAGUGUGAGAAGCACAGGGAGGAGGUGAGAUGACACUUUUUAAUACAUAAAAUGUAAAGACAAAAAAGGAGAAGAGAGGAUGAGAGGGAGAAGCAACCUGGUCCACUUUGGUGGUGCUGCUGUCCCAGUGAAUCUCCAGGAGGAGACUGCAUGCGUGUGGCAUGCCCAAAGCCUGUGACCUGAAGAAGUUUGACGACUUGUACAGGCUGGGCACCAACUGUAUCAAGUACUAAAAGGCUCUGCUCAACUUCACCAACAAUUCGGUGUUUUUUGAGAUAUGUAACUUGGUGGAAAAAAUACUUUACAUUUCACCUAAUUUUAACAUUCUGUCAUAAAGAGCACAUGUUCAAUUAAAUAAAAAAGCAUGUUUUCCCAUUUCAAGAGGAUAAUAAAAAAAUGACUAAGUGCCAAAUAAAGUAACAGGGUUGACGAUUUAAUCGUCCAUCAGCCAUAAAUCCCCUUGUAACAGAGGGAAUGGAAGCUUGUUGUAUGCAAGAGGAAGGGCAAUUGAAUGCAAGCUCCACAAAAAAAAAAAAAAAAUUGUUAAAACAUUUCUAGCCUGUCUGUCUAUGGGUAACAGGGUUAACGUGUUAUGAUUGAUCCACUCAGUUUUUCACCAUAAAACACCAGAAAAUGACCAAAAAAAGAAUAGAACCAGCUCACCUGCUUUUACACUAUGAUUUGACUGUUAGAUGUUAAAUGUUUUUCUUUCAAAAUGUAUUUUUUUUAUUUUUUUUUAAAGGAAUAGUUUCAUUAUAUUCAAACAAGAUUUUAGUAACAGGGAUGACCUUAAAAUGAGGGACAGGUUUAUUAUUAUUCUUUUUUUAUCUUCAAAUUAAUCACAUGAAUCAAUAAUAAUCUUCAGAAAUGACUUUGUCAAAGAAACAGCAUAACUAGGACUUACAUUGAUGGUGACAACUUGGAGACAUUUUGAGGUUAAGUGGGUUAAAAUCUUCCUGGAUGUCACAGAGGGUGCAAAGAGGGACAUGUCAAAAUUCUGAAUUUUGGCAGUUUAGCAAGUCAUUAUUCAUAUUAGAAAUCUGAUUUAUUGAAUUCUCCAUGUAGUCUAUAUUAAAGGGCACUGCAUUGAAUAUAACAGGUUUUAAAAAAUCAAUAUGGGUGCACAAUUUCUACUUAACAUAUCAAAG